GUAACGCGUAAUCAACCUGCCCUUCAGAGGGGGACAACAGUUGGAAACGACUGCUAAUACCGCAUACGAUCUAAUCUCGGCAUCGAGGAUGGAUGAAAGGUGGCCUCUAUUUAUAAGCUAUCACUGAAGGAGGGGAUUGCGUCUGAUUAGCUAGUUGGAGGGGUAACGGCCCACCAAGGCGAUGAUCAGUAGCCGGUCUGAGAGGAUGAACGGCCACAUUGGGACUGAGACACGGCCCAGACUCC
RNAcentral lists this ribosomal RNA (245 nucleotides) under uncultured Veillonella sp. RNAcentral's name for it is "partial 16S ribosomal RNA". It matches the Rfam family "Bacterial small subunit ribosomal RNA", at positions 110 to 339 of the family's 1533-position model. The record is from RNAcentral. Lineage: Bacteria; Bacillati; Bacillota; Negativicutes; Veillonellales; Veillonellaceae.